CGUUAUAUGCUUCGACACAAAACGAGGUCCACCCGAGGCGUGAUUAUUGCUAGUUGAAAACUUUUCCCAAUACCCCGCCUGGUGGACGUGAAAUACCGUCCACACGGCAAUUUUUAUGAACAGAGCUUCAUUCUA
RNAcentral lists this small nuclear RNA (135 nucleotides) under Branchiostoma floridae (Florida lancelet). Its description in RNAcentral is "U4 spliceosomal RNA". Lineage: Eukaryota; Metazoa; Chordata; Leptocardii; Amphioxiformes; Branchiostomatidae. The record is from Rfam by way of RNAcentral.